This 395-nucleotide ribosomal RNA is filed under the name uncultured bacterium. Its description in RNAcentral is "bacterial SSU rRNA". It matches the Rfam family "Bacterial small subunit ribosomal RNA", at positions 957 to 1353 of the family's 1533-position model. The record is from RNAcentral.
UAACGCGAAGAACCUUACCAGGUCUUGACAUACUAUGCAAAUCUAAGAGAUUAGACGUUCCCUUCGGGGACAUGGAUACAGGUGGUGCAUGGUUGUCGUCAGCUCGUGUCGUGAGAUGUUGGGUUAAGUCCCGCAACGAGCGCAACCCUUAUUAUCAGUUGCCAGCAUUAAGUUGGGCACUCUGGUGAGACUGCCGGUGACAAACCGGAGGAAGGUGGGGAUGACGUCAAAUCAUCAUGCCCCUUAUGACCUGGGCUACACACGUGCUACAAUGGAUGGUACAACGAGUUGCGAACUCGCGAGAGUAAGCUAAUCUCUUAAAGCCAUUCUCAGUUCGGAUUGUAGGCUGCAACUCACCUACAUGAAGUCGGAAUCGCUAGUAAUCGCGGAUCAGC